GGCACAGGCAGGUGGGAAGAAAAGAGAGAGGACAGGCCUAGGAGGAGAAGGAGAUGCAGGGCACUCCUGCCUUCCUGCCCACAAUCAUCUUCACACAGUUGCCCCACCAUUAGAAUAGAGGAGCACAUGCCCCACUCCUGGCUGGCCACUCAAUUCCUGCUUCUUUCCUGUAGCAGCCACAUGCACACUAUUAUGCAACACUGGGCUUGGAUGCCUGCUCUACCAACUAUUGAUCUUCAGGGUUUUUUUUCCCUCUAUUGAUCAUAUUUGUUGAAUGGGGCCCCAUAAAAUUAGACUGAUAAAAGACAGAAGGAGAGAAGCAAAUUUAUUAACAUGUGCAUCAUGUGUAUGCAGGAGAAUGCUUGAUGGUGAGUAACUCAGAGGAAUGGUUAGAACUGGAAUUCACAUGGUAUCUUAGCAAAGAAUAAGAAUCCUGCAGAGAAGUAAUAACCAAAGAAUAAGGAGUUUGAACUUCUAGGGCAGGUAGAUUGGGGGAAGGUAAAUAUAUGUGGAGGCUGAUGGAAGAUAACAUUUGUUGUACAGAUUCUUCUGGGAUUUCUCUGAGCAGAUAAGAAUUUAGAGUCUCUGGUGAUUCAGGAUUUCCUGCCGUUCCUGGUAGAGAUGGGGAGGGCAAAGAAUUUUUCUUGGGUCUGCUUCUACUUAAUUGGCUUUUGCUCAAAAUAAUCAAUAGACCAAAGUGGCAUAUUUUGGAGUGGCAUAUUCUACAACUUCCUCUGAAGGAACUUUCUGGUUCCCUCAUGUGUAAAAAGGAAAUAAAAUUAGUCCUUAGGCAUUCUGAGGAUUUCUUAGAUAAUCCAUUCAAAGAACUCAGAACUGUGUCUAGCAAACAACAUAUGCUCAGUUCAUGCUGCCUAACACCACUGCUGCUCCAGCUGAUGAGAUCCGUUGGAUUUUCCCAAGUUCCUUCCAUCCUGGACUUGGGGGUGAGGGAGGCCCUGGGUAUAGGCAGCUAAAUAGGAAGUGGAAAAAGAUAAUUUAUUAAUAGAAUCCUCUUCCUUCUAGAAUUUCUUGGAGAUGGUGAGGCCAGUGGCAACAGCUGAUUAGGAGACCAUUCAGUAAGGAUUAAGAAUCAAAUACACUGUGUCACUGAGGUAGUCUUAGGCCUGCAGAUCUGUUGUGGGCAAUGUGAAAACAAGAGGAAAAUUAGGAUGUAUUUCAAAAUGGAGUCUGGAGGCCAUGAAGGGGGCAGGAUUUAUGCAGGUUCCAACUUCUCCCUGGGAAUGUGAACUCUGGUCUCUUCCACCCCGUCUGGAACAACCAAAACAAGUGGUCAAUUGAAUUGUACUCAGAGGCUUACGGUACAUAUCAGGAGAUCACCAGACUCUUGUUUUGUGGCCUUUUCCAUUUUGUUUGUACGUUCUUUUUUUUUUUUUUUUUCUGUAGCUUAUGUAGCUCCUGUUUCUUCUCAACAUUCACUAGCACACAUGAGCUCCUACUUUUUCUGCCUUCCGCAGAAUGCUGAUUUAGAGCUUUCUGAAUCUUUGUCACUUGAAUCACAGUUCCUAAGACCUGAAAUAAAGCCAUUUGGAUGGAUUCACUGUGAUAGGUAAGAAAGAAAUUAUUCAUCCAUGAACAGAGAGUAAAAAAGGAGUAAAAAGUGAGGGAAUAGCCAUUGGAAGCUAGAAUCAGUAAAACUGGGAACUUAAGCAGAGAGAAAUGAGGGAGAGCAGCAGGAUUUUGUAGGGAGAGAACUGAAUGGAAAGAGUUAAGGCCAGAGAUCAUGCAGCAAAUUGCUGCCAUCAAAAGCAAAUAUUUGCCAGACUCUAGACGAUAAGACCGCCCAUGGACUUUGAAAAAUACUGUUUACAUGGAAAAAAAAAAAAAAACAUGUUGGAUGAAAAUUCCAAGAAGCCAUUGUUUUAGACGGGAGCCUUCUUGCACUAAGCCCCACAGACCAGAUUAAAAAACAAAAUGGAGUCACUUAGGCUGAGUGAGGUUCUUUAGUACCAAACAGAAAUUGAAUUGUAAUCUGACCUUCCCAGAAAUCAGGAGAAAGAACUCCAGAAAACUUCCUAAACCAGCUCAUUUUGAUUGACAUGAUAAUCAAGUUUCCUCUUCUUUAAUCCUUACCCCUUCUAAUCCUUAUGAAAAGUAACCAGAGGCAAUCUGAUAUUAACCUACCCAUUAAUUUUCUAUUGUCUAUCUCUAUGUCUAUAUUUCAAAGGGAAAGUAAUUUUGAAAUGACCAUCUGAUUUUGGAUUUUUUUUUUAAUUUUUUAUUGUUGGGUGUUCAAAACAUUACAUAGUUCUUGAUAUAUCAUAUUUCACACUUUGAUUCAAGUGGGUUAUGAGCUCCCAUUUUUACCCCAUAUACAGAUUGCAGAAUUACAUCAGUUACACAUCCAUUGAUUUACAUAUUGCCAUACUAGUGUCUGUUGUGUUCUGCUGCCUUUCCUAUCCUCUACUAUCCCCCCUCCCCUCCCCUCCCCUCCCCUCCCCUCUUCUCUCUCUGCCCCCUCUACUAGCAUUCAUUUGUCCCCCUUGUAUUCUUUUUCCCUUUCCCCUCACUUCCUCUUGUAUGUACUUUUGUAUAACUCUGAGGGUCUCCUUCCAUUUCCAUGCAAUUUCCCUUCUCUCUCCCUUUCCCUCCCACCUCUCAUCCCUGUUUAAUGUUAAUCUUCUUCUCAUGCUCUUCGACCCUACUCUGUUCUUAGUUACUCUCCUUAUAUCAAAGAAGACAUUUGGCAUUUGUUUUUUAGGGAUUGGCUAGCUUCACUUAGCAUAAUCUGCUCUAAUGCCAUCCAUUUCCCUGUAAAUUCUAUGAUUUUGUCAUUUUUUAAUGCAGAGUAAUACUCCAUUGUGUAUAAAUGCCACAUUUUUUUUAUCCAUUCAUCUAUUGAAGGGCAUCUAGGUUGGUUCCACAGUCUUGCUAUUGUGAAUUGUGCUGCUAUGAACAUCGAUGUAGCAGUGUCCCUGUAGCAUGCUCUUUUUAGGUCUUUAGGGAAUAGACCGAGAAGGGGAAUAGCUGGGUCAAAUGGUGGCUCCAUUCCCAGCUUUCCAAGAAAUCUCCAUACUGCUUUCCAAAUUGGCUGCACCAAUUUGCAGUCCCACCAGCAAUGUACAAGUGUACCCUUUUCCCCACAUCCUCGCCAGCACUUGUUGUUGUUUGACUUCAUAAUGGCUGCCAAUCUAACUGUGGCAUUUAUACACAAUGGAGUAUUACUGUGCAUUAAAAAAUGACAAAAUCAUAGAAUUUACAGGGAAAUGGAUGGCAUUAGAGCAGAUUAUGCUAAGUGAAGCUAGCCAAUCCCUAAAAAACAAAUGCCAAAUGUCUUCUUUGAUAUAAGGAGAGUAACUAAGAACAGAGUAGGGUCGAAGAGCAUGAGAAGAAGAUUAACAUUAAACAGGGAUGAGAGGUGGGAGGGAAAGGGAGAGAGAAGGGAAAUUGCAUGGAAAUGGAAGGAGACCCUCAGAGUUAUACAAAAGUACAUACAAGAGGAAGUGAGGGGAAAGG
Molecule: long non-coding RNA, 3474 nt
Filed under: Marmota monax (woodchuck)
Lineage: Eukaryota; Metazoa; Chordata; Mammalia; Rodentia; Sciuridae
Source: RNAcentral